AUGGACUGGACCUGGAGGAUCCUCCUCUUGGUGGCAGCAGCUACAGGGACCCACUCCAAGGUGCAGCUGGUGCAGUCUGGCACUGAGGUAAAGAAGCCUGGGGCCUCAGUGAAGGUCUCCUGCCAGGAUUCCGGAUACACCCUCACCGACUACUCCAAGCACUGGGUGCGACAGACCCCUGGAAAAGGGCUUCAGUGGAUGGGAGGUUUUGAUCCUGUAGAUGGUGAAACAGUCAACUCACAGAAGUUCCAGCGCAGAGUCACCAUGACCGAGGACACGUCUACAGACACAGCCUACAUGGAGCUCAGCAGCCUGAGAUCUGAGGACACAGCUGUGUAUUACUGUCCAGCAGGCACAGCAUGA
Nomascus leucogenys (northern white-cheeked gibbon) is the source of this 363-nucleotide non-coding RNA. Lineage: Eukaryota; Metazoa; Chordata; Mammalia; Primates; Hylobatidae. The record is from the annotation of a RefSeq genome assembly.